Molecule: ribosomal RNA, 510 nt
Filed under: uncultured bacterium
Lineage: Bacteria
Description: partial 16S ribosomal RNA
Source: RNAcentral
GGAGUUAGCCGGUGCUUCUUCUGUGAGUGAUGUCCUUCCUGCCGGCUAUUAACCCGCAGGCCUUCUUCCUCACUGAAAGUGCUUUACAACCCGAAGGCCUUCUUCACACACGCGGCAUGGCUGGAUCAGGGUUGCCCCCAUUGUCCAAUAUUCCCCACUGCUGCCUCCCGUAGGAGUCUGGGCCGUGUCUCAGUCCCAGUGUGGCUGAUCAUCCUCUCAGACCAGCUACGGAUCGUCGCCUUGGUGAGCCGUUACCUCACCAACCAGCUAAUCCGACAUAGGCUCAUCCGAUAGCGCGAGGCCCGAAGGUCCCCCGCUUUCCCCCGUAGGGCGUAUGCGGUAUUAGCCUGGGUUUCCCCAGGUUAUCCCCCACUACCGGGCAGAUUCCUAUGCAUUACUCACCCGUCCGCCGCUCGCCACCAGGGAGCAAGCUCCCCGUGCUGCCGCUCGACUUGCAUGUGUUAGGCCUGCCGCCAGCGUUCAAUCUGAGCCAUAAUCGAAACCUCUCGA